CAGACGUCAGAACGGAUAGGAGAGAUAGGAAAGAUAGAAGAAGAAUAUUAAUCAAAACAAGAAUAAUAUUGACCAAACAGAAAUCAAACACAUUUCUUUUGACCGAAAAGCUUCAAUCCUGAUUAACCACUUCCUGAACAAAGACCUCGUUGGACCAUCGUAACAGAUGGAAACGUAUUAAUCACUUGAAUCCUGACACUCGGAGCCACAUUGAAAAACAUACACACACACACACACACACACACACACACACACACACACACACACUCAUAUCAUCAGCGUCCCAACAGGAGCCAGACUGCAUCAAGAGCAACAAAUCAUGGGUC
Molecule: long non-coding RNA, 326 nt
Organism: Alosa sapidissima (American shad)
Lineage: Eukaryota; Metazoa; Chordata; Actinopteri; Clupeiformes; Clupeidae
Exons: 3
Source: RefSeq, a predicted model, not a curated record